This 254-nucleotide ribosomal RNA is filed under the name uncultured bacterium. RNAcentral describes it as "partial 16S ribosomal RNA". It matches the Rfam family "Bacterial small subunit ribosomal RNA", at positions 524 to 776 of the family's 1533-position model. The record is from RNAcentral.
UACGGAGGGGGCAAGCGUUGUUCGGAAUUACUGGGCGGAAAGGGCGCGCAGGCGGCUGCUCAAGUCAGGCGUGAAAGGCCUGGGCUCAACCCGGGAAUUGCGCUUGAGACUGGGCUGGCUUGAGUGCGGGAGAGGAUGGUGGAAUUCCCAGUGUAGAGGUGAAAUGUGUAGAUAUUGGGAGGAACACCAGUGGCGAAGGCGGCUCACUGGACCGGAACUGACGCUGAUGCGCGAAAGCGUGGGGAGCAAACGGG